GACGAACGCUGGCGGCGUGCUUAACACAUGCAAGUCGAACGGAAAGGCCCUGCUUGCAGGGUACUCGAGUGGCGAACGGGUGAGUAACACGUGGGUGAUCUGCCCUGCACUUCGGGAUAAGCCUGGGCAACUGGGUCUAAUACCGGAUAGGAGCCAUUUUCAGUGUGAUGGUUGGAAAGUUUUUUCGGUGUAGGAUGAGCUCGCGGCCUAUUAGCUUGUUGGUGGGGUAAUGGCCUACCAAGGCGGCGACGGGUAGCCGGCCUGAGAGGGUGGACGGCCACAUUGGGACUGAGAGACGGCCGAGACGCCUACGGGAGGCAGCAGUGGGGAAGAUUGCACAAGGGGCGCAAGCCUGAUGCAGCGACGCCGCGUGGGGGAUGACGGCCUUCGGGUUGUAGACUCCUUUCGCUAGGGACGAAGCUUUUUGUGACGGUACCUAGAGAAGAAGCACCGGCUAACUACGUG
Molecule: ribosomal RNA, 465 nt
Filed under: uncultured bacterium
Lineage: Bacteria
Description: partial 16S ribosomal RNA
Rfam family: Bacterial small subunit ribosomal RNA
Source: RNAcentral